This 586-nucleotide ribosomal RNA is filed under the name uncultured bacterium. Its description in RNAcentral is "partial 16S ribosomal RNA". It matches the Rfam family "Bacterial small subunit ribosomal RNA", at positions 355 to 1376 of the family's 1533-position model. The record is from RNAcentral.
UGGGGAAUAUUGGACAAUGGGCGCAAGCCUGAUCCAGCAAUGCCGCGUGUGUGAAGAAGGCCUUCGGGUUGUAAAGCACUUUUAUCAGGAGCGAAACGCUGUCGGCUAAUACCCGGCGGAACUGACGGUACCUGAGGAAUAAGCACCGGCUAACUUCGUGCCAGCAGCCGCGGUAAUACGAAGGUGCAAGCGUUAAUCGGAAUACUGGGCGUAAAGCGUGCGUAGGCGGUUUCUUAAGUCUGCUGUGAAAUCCCCGGGCUCAACCUGGGAAUGGCAGUGGAUACUGGGAGGCUAGAGUGUGUCAGAGGGUGGUGGAAUUCCCGGUGUAGCGGUGAAAUGCGUAGAGAUCGGGAGGAACAUCAGUGGCGAAGGCGGCCACCUGGGACAACACUGACGCUGAGGCACGAAAGCGUGGGGAGCAAACAGGAUUAGAUACCCUGGUAGUCCACGCCCUAAACGAUGCGAACUGGAUGUUGGUCUCAACUCGGAGAUCAGUGUCGAAGCUAACGCGUUAAGUUCGCCGCCUGGGGAGUACGGUCGCAAGACUGAAACUCAAAUGAAUUGACGGGGUCAUAGCUGUUUCCUG